This 489-nucleotide ribosomal RNA is filed under the name uncultured bacterium. Its description in RNAcentral is "bacterial SSU rRNA". It matches the Rfam family "Bacterial small subunit ribosomal RNA", at positions 28 to 509 of the family's 1533-position model. The record is from RNAcentral.
GACUAACGCUGGCGGCGUGCCCAAUACAUGCAAGUCGAACGGGAUUCUUUGAUCAGCUUGCUGAGAGAAGGAUCUAGUGGCGGACGGGUGAGUAACGCGUGGGAAUCUGCCUCUUACUGGGGGAUAACAGUGGGAAACUACUGCUAAUACCGCAUAAGAUCUUCGGAUGAAAGGUGCAACUGCACCGGUAAGAGAUGAGCCCGCGUCCCAUUAGCUAGUUGGUGAGGUAAAGGCUCACCAAGGCGACGAUGGGUAGCCGGCCUGAGAGGGUGAACGGCCACACUGGGACUGAGACACGGCCCAGACUCCUACGGGAGGCAGCAGUAGGGAAUCUUCCGCAAUGGGCCAAGCCUGACGGAGCGACGCCGCGUGAGUGAUGAAGGCCUUGGGCGUAAAGCUCUGUUCUUGAGGACGAAUAAGCCAGGGAGUAGGAAAGCCCGUGGUGAUGACUGUACUCGAAAGGAGAAAGCUCCGGCUAACGUACGUGCC